This 325-nucleotide ribosomal RNA is filed under the name uncultured eukaryote. Its description in RNAcentral is "partial 18S ribosomal RNA". It matches the Rfam family "Eukaryotic small subunit ribosomal RNA", at positions 1470 to 1796 of the family's 1831-position model. The record is from RNAcentral.
CCCUUAGAUGUUCUGGGCUGCACGCGCGCUACACUGAUGCGCUCAACGAGUUUACGAACUUGCCCGGAAGGGUUGGUUAAUCUUUUUAAAACGCAUCGUGAUGGGGAUAGAUUAUUGCAAUUAUUAAUCUUCAACGAGGAAUUCCUAGUAGACGUAGUUCAUCAGACUGCAUCGAUUACGUCCCUGCCCUUUGUACACACCGCCCGUCGCUCCUACCGAUUGAAUGCUCAGGUGAGCCAUUCGGACUUUCAUCAUGCUGGUUUCCAGUUUUGAUGAAGGAAAGUCUUGCGAACCUUAUCAUUUAGAGGAAGGAGAAGUCGUAACA